Molecule: transfer RNA, 72 nt
Filed under: Pseudomonadota bacterium
Lineage: Bacteria; Pseudomonadati; Pseudomonadota
Also listed under: 1 other name
Description: tRNA-Val
Rfam family: tRNA
About the family: Transfer RNA (tRNA) molecules are approximately 80 nucleotides in length.
Source: RNAcentral
GGGCGGUUAGCUCAAUGGCAGAGCGUCCGCUUGACGUGCGGAAGGCUGGAGGUUCGAGUCCUCCACCGCCCA